Molecule: ribosomal RNA, 585 nt
Filed under: Triticum aestivum (bread wheat)
Lineage: Eukaryota; Viridiplantae; Streptophyta; Magnoliopsida; Poales; Poaceae
Description: partial small subunit ribosomal RNA
Source: RNAcentral
AUGUCUGUUGGUGUGUUAGCAUGGAAUAUCAGGGGGCUUAACAACCCCGCUAGACGUAACUCCGUUCAUUUAUUUCUGCAAUCAUGCAAUAUUUCCCUUGUUUGUCUCCAAGAAUCCAAAUUGGACAGGGUGGAUGCUGUGGUAGUUGGCCAAAUUCUGGGCCCGACUUUCGAUGGUUUCGACUUCCUUCCUAUGGUGGGUACUAGAGGGGGAAUCCUUCUAGCUUGGAAGAAGGACAGUUUGUCUGUCCCUGAUGUUCAUAAGGGAGAAUUCUCGAUCACAAUCAAGGUUUCUUCCUUGUCAGAUGGGAAAGUCUGGAUGGUGACUUCGGUAUAUGGACCUCAAGAGGAUGAUGACAAGAUCAUGUUCCUGGAGGAGAUUCAGGGGUUGGGUACUAAUAUUCAGCUCCCAUGGAUUGUUAAUGGUGAUUUUAAUUUGGUUUGUGAGGCGGGGGAGCACAGUUCACACAGGUUUAACAGAAGAUUGGCAAAUAAAUUCAGGCACACUAUCAACUCCUUGGGUUUGCAUGACAUGCCGAUGUUGGGGAGGAGGUUCACUUGGUGCAAUAAUCAAGAAACUCAGUGA